Molecule: ribosomal RNA, 507 nt
Filed under: Cranophorus sp. AG06
Lineage: Eukaryota; Metazoa; Arthropoda; Insecta; Coleoptera; Coccinellidae
Description: partial 16S ribosomal RNA
Rfam family: Bacterial large subunit ribosomal RNA (bases 381-507)
Source: RNAcentral
UUUUUGAUUAUAAUUUAAAGUAGGGCCUGCCCACUGAAAUUUUUGAAGGGCCGCAGUAUUUUGACUGUGCAAAGGUAGCAUAAUCAUUAGUUUUUUAAUUGAAAGCUGGAAUGAAUGGUUUGAUGAAAAAAUUACUGUCUUAAUAUUAAUUUAAUAGAACUUUAUUUUUAAGUUAAAAAGCUUAAAUAUUUUUAAAAGACGAGAAGACCCUAUAGAGUUUAAUUUUUAAACAAAAUUAAUUUUUUAGAAUUAAAUUAUAUAAUCUUGUUAAAGAAUUAGGUUGGGGUGACAGAAAAAUUAAAUGAACUUUUUUUAAUUUAAAACAUAAAUUUAUGAAUAAAUGAUCCAUUUAAGUGAUUAAAAGAUUAAAUUACCUUAGGGAUAACAGCGUAAUUUUUUUUUAGAGUUCAAAUCGAAAAAAAAGAUUGCGACCUCGAUGUUGGAUUAAAAUAAAUUUUUGGUGUAGAAGCUAAAAAAUUAGGUCUGUUCGACCUUUAAAAUUUUACA